CAGCCGUAAACUAUGCUCGCUAGGUGUCAGGCAUGGCGCGACCGUGUCUGGUGCCGCAGGGAAGCCGUGAAGCGAGCCACCUGGGAAGUACGGCCGCAAGGCUGAAACUUAAGGAUUGGCGGGGGAGCACAACAACGGGUGGAGCCUGCGGUUUAAUUGGACUCAACGCCGGACAACUCACCGGGGACGACAGCAAUAUGUAGGCCAGGCUGAAGAUCUUGCCUGAAUCGCUGAGAGGAGGUGCAUGGCGUAGACGUCU
This 259-nucleotide ribosomal RNA is filed under the name uncultured archaeon. RNAcentral's name for it is "partial 16S ribosomal RNA". It matches the Rfam family "Archaeal small subunit ribosomal RNA", at positions 748 to 1009 of the family's 1478-position model. The record is from RNAcentral.